Molecule: ribosomal RNA, 440 nt
Filed under: uncultured bacterium
Lineage: Bacteria
Description: bacterial SSU rRNA
Rfam family: Bacterial small subunit ribosomal RNA
Source: RNAcentral
AACGCGAAGAACCUUACCUGGGUUUGACAUCCACUGACCGUCCUAGAGAUAGGGCUUCUCCUUCGGGAGCAGUGAGACAGGUGCUGCAUGGCUGUCGUCAGCUCGUAUCGUGAGAUGUCGGGUUAAGUCCCUUAACGAGCGCAACCCUUGUCCCUUGUUGCCAUCAUUCAGUUGGGCACUCCAGGGAGACCGCCGGUGUUAAACCGGAGGAAGGUGGGGAUGACGUCAAGUCCUCAUGGCCCUUAUAUCCAGGGCUACACACGUGCUACAAUGGCCAGUACAAAGGGUUGCUAACGCGCAAGCGGGAGCUAAUCUCAGAAAGCUGGUCUCAGUUCGGAUUGAAGUCUGCAACUCGACUUCAUGAAGCUGGAAUCGCUAGUAAUCGCGGAUCAGAACGCCGCGGUGAAUACGUUCCCGGGCCUUGUACACACCGAGACGUA